GUCCCUGUAGCUUAAUGGGUGGCGCGUUGGACUUAUAAUCCAAAGGUCGUGGGUUGGAAUCCCACCUGGGAUG
Molecule: non-coding RNA, 73 nt
Organism: Trichonephila clavipes
Lineage: Eukaryota; Metazoa; Arthropoda; Arachnida; Araneae; Nephilidae
Source: the annotation of a GenBank genome assembly